UGGACCUCUCGGGGUUACAGCCUUGCUGAAUUAUUCACCCUUGUCUUUUGCGUACUUCUUGUUUCCUUGGUGGGUUCGCCCACCACUAGGACAAACAUAAACCUUUUGUAAUUGCAAUCAGCGUCAGUAACAAAUUAAUAAUUACAACUUUCAACAACGGAUCUCUUGGUUCUGGCAUCGAUGAAGAACGCAGCGAAAUGCGAUAAGUAGUGUGAAUUGCAGAAUUCAGUGAAUCAUCGAAUCUUUGAACGCACAUUGCGCCCUUUGGUAUUCCAAAGGGCAUGCCUGUUCGAGCGUCAUUUGUACCCUCAAGCUUUGCUUGGUGUUGGGCGUCUUGUCUCUAGCUUUGCUGGAGACUCGCCUUAAAGUAAUUGGCAGCCGGCCUACUGGUUUCGGAGCGCAGCACAAGUCGCACUCUCUAUCAGCAAAGGUCUAGCAUCCAUUAAGCCUUUUUUUUCAACUUUUGACCUCGGAUCAGGUAGGGAUACCCGCUGAACUUAAGCAUAUCAAUAAGCGGAGGAAA
This 523-nucleotide ribosomal RNA is filed under the name Alternaria sp. PA07. RNAcentral describes it as "eukaryotic LSU rRNA". The stretch from base 146 to 299 matches the Rfam family "5.8S ribosomal RNA". The record is from RNAcentral. Lineage: Eukaryota; Fungi; Ascomycota; Dothideomycetes; Pleosporales; Pleosporaceae.